Molecule: ribosomal RNA, 2773 nt
Filed under: Escherichia coli
Lineage: Bacteria; Pseudomonadati; Pseudomonadota; Gammaproteobacteria; Enterobacterales; Enterobacteriaceae
Description: bacterial LSU rRNA
Rfam family: Bacterial large subunit ribosomal RNA
Source: RNAcentral
AGCGUACACGGUGGAUGCCCUGGCAGUCAGAGGCGAUGAAGGACGUGCUAAUCUGCGAUAAGCGUCGGUGAGGUGAUAUGAACCGUUAUAACCGGCGAUUUCCGAAUGGGGAAACCCAGUGUGUUUCGACACACUAUCAUUAACUGAAUCCAUAGGUUAAUGAGGCGAACCGGGGGAACUGAAACAUCUAAGUACCCCGAGGAAAAGAAAUCAACCGAGAUUCCCCCAGUAGCGGCGAGCGAACGGGGAGGAGCCCAGAGCCUGAAUCAGUGUGUGUGUUAGUGGAAGCGUCUGGAAAGGCGCGCGAUACAGGGUGACAGCCCCGUACACAAAAAUGCACAUAUUGUGAGCUCGAUGAGUAGGGCGGGACACGUGGUAUCCUGUCUGAAUAUGGGGGGACCAUCCUCCAAGGCUAAAUACUCCUGACUGACCGAUAGUGAACCAGUACCGUGAGGGAAAGGCGAAAAGAACCCCGGCGAGGGGAGUGAAAAAGAACCUGAAACCGUGUACGUACAAGCAGUGGGAGCCUCUUAAUGGGGUGACUGCGUACCUUUUGUAUAAUGGGUCAGCGACUUAUAUUCUGUAGCAAGGUUAACCGAAUAGGGGAGCCGAAGGGAAACCGAGUCUUAACUGGGCGUUAAGUUGCAGGGUAUAGACCCGAAACCCGGUGAUCUAGCCAUGGGCAGGUUGAAGGUUGGGUAACACUAACUGGAGGACCGAACCGACUAAUGUUGAAAAAUUAGCGGAUGACUUGUGGCUGGGGGUGAAAGGCCAAUCAAACCGGGAGAUAGCUGGUUCUCCCCGAAAGCUAUUUAGGUAGCGCCUCGUGAAUUCAUCUCCGGGGGUAGAGCACUGUUUCGGCAAGGGGGUCAUCCCGACUUACCAACCCGAUGCAAACUGCGAAUACCGGAGAAUGUUAUCACGGGAGACACACGGCGGGUGCUAACGUCCGUCGUGAAGAGGGAAACAACCCAGACCGCCAGCUAAGGUCCCAAAGUCAUGGUUAAGUGGGAAACGAUGUGGGAAGGCCCAGACAGCCAGGAUGUUGGCUUAGAAGCAGCCAUCAUUUAAAGAAAGCGUAAUAGCUCACUGGUCGAGUCGGCCUGCGCGGAAGAUGUAACGGGGCUAAACCAUGCACCGAAGCUGCGGCAGCGACACUAUGUGUUGUUGGGUAGGGGAGCGUUCUGUAAGCCUGUGAAGGUGGCCUGUGAGGGGUGCUGGAGGUAUCAGAAGUGCGAAUGCUGACAUAAGUAACGAUAAAGCGGGUGAAAAGCCCGCUCGCCGGAAGACCAAGGGUUCCUGUCCAACGUUAAUCGGGGCAGGGUGAGUCGACCCCUAAGGCGAGGCCGAAAGGCGUAGUCGAUGGGAAACAGGUUAAUAUUCCUGUACUUGGUGUUACUGCGAAGGGGGGACGGAGAAGGCUAUGUUGGCCGGGCGACGGUUGUCCCGGUUUAAGCGUGUAGGCUGGUUUUCCAGGCAAAUCCGGAAAACCAAGGCUGAGGCGUGAUGACGAGGCACUACGGUGCUGAAGUGACAAAUGCCCUGCUUCCAGGAAAAGCCUCUAAGCAUCAGGUAACAUCAAAUCGUACCCCAAACCGACACAGGUGGUCAGGUAGAGAAUACCAAGGCGCUUGAGAGAACUCGGGUGAAGGAACUAGGCAAAAUGGUGCCGUAACUUCGGGAGAAGGCACGCUGAUAUGUAGGUGAAGCGACUUGCUCGUGGAGCUGAAAUCAGUCGAAGAUACCAGCUGGCUGCAACUGUUUAUUAAAAACACAGCACUGUGCAAACACGAAAGUGGACGUAUACGGUGUGACGCCUGCCCGGUGCCGGAAGGUUAAUUGAUGGGGUUAGCGGUAACGCGAAGCUCUUGAUCGAAGCCCCGGUAAACGGCGGCCGUAACUAUAACGGUCCUAAGGUAGCGAAAUUCCUUGUCGGGUAAGUUCCGACCUGCACGAAUGGCGUAAUGAUGGCCAGGCUGUCUCCACCCGAGACUCAGUGAAAUUGAACUCGCUGUGAAGAUGCAGUGUACCCGCGGCAAGACGGAAAGACCCCGUGAACCUUUACUAUAGCUUGACACUGAACAUUGAGCCUUGAUGUGUAGGAUAGGUGGGAGGCUUUGAAGUGUGGACGCCAGUCUGCAUGGAGCCGACCUUGAAAUACCACCCUUUAAUGUUUGAUGUUCUAACGUUGGCCCGUAAUCCGGGUUGCGGACAGUGUCUGGUGGGUAGUUUGACUGGGGCGGUCUCCUCCUAAAGAGUAACGGAGGAGCACGAAGGUUGGCUAAUCCUGGUCGGACAUCAGGAGGUUAGUGCAAUGGCAUAAGCCAGCUUGACUGCGAGCGUGACGGCGCGAGCAGGUGCGAAAGCAGGUCAUAGUGAUCCGGUGGUUCUGAAUGGAAGGGCCAUCGCUCAACGGAUAAAAGGUACUCCGGGGAUAACAGGCUGAUACCGCCCAAGAGUUCAUAUCGACGGCGGUGUUUGGCACCUCGAUGUCGGCUCAUCACAUCCUGGGGCUGAAGUAGGUCCCAAGGGUAUGGCUGUUCGCCAUUUAAAGUGGUACGCGAGCUGGGUUUAGAACGUCGUGAGACAGUUCGGUCCCUAUCUGCCGUGGGCGCUGGAGAACUGAGGGGGGCUGCUCCUAGUACGAGAGGACCGGAGUGGACGCAUCACUGGUGUUCGGGUUGUCAUGCCAAUGGCACUGCCCGGUAGCUAAAUGCGGAAGAGAUAAGUGCUGAAAGCAUCUAAGCACGAAACUUGCCCCGAGAUGAGUUCU